CCUACGGGAGGCUGCAGUGGGGAAUAUUGGACAAUGGGGGGAACCCUGAUCCAGCCAUGCCGCGUGUGUGAAGAAGGCCCUCGGUUUGUAAAGCACUUUCAGUGAGGAAGAACGCCUGGUGGUUAAUACCCAUCAGGAAAGACAUCACUCACAGAAGAAGCACCGGCUAACUCCGUGCCAGCAGCCGCGGUAAUACGGAGGGUGCGAGCGUUAAUCGGAAUUACUGGGCGUAAAGCGCGCGUAGGUGGCUUGAUAAGCCGGUUGUGAAAGCCCCGGGCUCAACCUGGGAACGGCAUCCGGAACUGUCAAGCUAGAGUGCAGGAGAGGAAGGUAGAAUUCCCGGUGUAGCGGUGAAAUGCGUAGAGAUCGGGAGGAAUACCAGUGGCGAAGGCGGCCUUCUGGACUGACACUGACACUGAGGUGCGAAAGCGUGGGUAGCAAACAGGAUUAGAUACCCGGGUAGUC
RNAcentral lists this ribosomal RNA (465 nucleotides) under Vreelandella stevensii. RNAcentral's name for it is "partial 16S ribosomal RNA". It matches the Rfam family "Bacterial small subunit ribosomal RNA", at positions 338 to 795 of the family's 1533-position model. Lineage: Bacteria; Pseudomonadati; Pseudomonadota; Gammaproteobacteria; Oceanospirillales; Halomonadaceae. The record is from RNAcentral.